GGUGAACGCUGGCGGUAGGCCCAACACAUGCAAGUCGAACGGCAGCACAGUAAGAGCUUGCUCUUACGGGUGGCGAGUGGCGGACGGGUGAGGAAUACAUCGGAAUCUACUUUUUCGUGGGGGAUAACGUAGGGAAACUUACGCUAAUACCGCAUACGACCUACGGGUGAAAGCAGGGGAUCUUCGGACCUUGCGCGAUUGAAUGAGCCGAUGUCGGAUUAGCUAGUUGGCGGGGUAAAGGCCCACCAAGGCGACGAUCCGUAGCUGGUCUGAGAGGAUGAUCAGCCACACUGGAACUGAGACACGGUCCAGACUCCUACGGGAGGCAGCAGUGGGGAAUAUUGGACAAUGGGCGCAAGCCUGAUCCAGCCAUACCGCGUGGGUGAAGAAGGCCUUCGGGUUGUAAAGCCCUUUUGUUGGGAAAGAAAAGCAGCAGGUUAAUACCCCGCUGUUCUGACGGUACCCAAAGAAUAAGCACCGGCUAACUUCGUG
Molecule: ribosomal RNA, 492 nt
Filed under: uncultured bacterium
Lineage: Bacteria
Description: partial 16S ribosomal RNA
Rfam family: Bacterial small subunit ribosomal RNA
Source: RNAcentral